CCUACGGGUGGCAGCAGUCGAGAAUCAUUCACAAUGGGGGAAACCCUGAUGGUGCGACGCCGCGUGGGGGAAUGAAGGUCUUCGGAUUGUAAACCCCUGUCAUGUGGGAGCAAAUUAAAAAGAUAGUACCACAAGAGGAAGAGACGGCUAACUCUGUGCCAGCAGCCGCGGUAAUACAGAGGUCUCAAGCGUUGUUCGGAAUCACUGGGCGUAAGGCGUGCGUAGGCUGUUUCGUAAGUCGUGUGUGAAAGGCGCGGGCUCAACCCGCGGACGGCACAUGAUACUGCGAGACUAGAGUAAUGGAGGGGGAACCGGAAUUCUCGGUGUAGCAGUGAAAUGCGUAGAUAUCGAGAGGAACACUCAUGGCGAAGGCGGGUUCCUGGACAUUAACUGACGCUGAGGCACGAAGGCCAGGGGAGCGAAAGGGAUUAGAUACCCGAGUAGUC
Molecule: ribosomal RNA, 446 nt
Filed under: uncultured bacterium
Lineage: Bacteria
Description: partial 16S ribosomal RNA
Rfam family: Bacterial small subunit ribosomal RNA
Source: RNAcentral